AACGAACGCUGGCGGCAGGCCUAACACAUGCAAGUCGAGCGGACCUUUCGGGGUCAGCGGCGGACGGGUGAGUAACGCGUGGGAAUAUGCCCUUCUCUACGGAAUAGUCCUGGGAAACUGGGGGUAAUACCGUAUACGCCCUUUGGGGGAAAGAUUUAUCGGGGAAGGAUUAGCCCGCGUUGGAUUAGGUAGUUGGUGGGGUAAUGGCCUACCAAGCCGACGAUCCAUAGCUGGUUUGAGAGGAUGAUCAGCCACACUGGGACUGAGACACGGCCCAGACUCCUACGGGAGGCAGCAGUGGGGAAUCUUAGACAAUGGGGGCAACCCUGAUCUAGCCAUGCCGCGUGAGUGAUGAAGGCCUUAGGGUUGUAAAGCUCUUUCAGCUGGGAAGAUAAUGACGGUACCAGCAGAAGAAGCCCUGGCUAACUCCGUG
This 433-nucleotide ribosomal RNA is filed under the name uncultured bacterium. RNAcentral describes it as "partial 16S ribosomal RNA". It matches the Rfam family "Bacterial small subunit ribosomal RNA", at positions 29 to 507 of the family's 1533-position model. The record is from RNAcentral.